GAUGAACGCUAGCUACAGGCUUAACACAUGCAAGUCGAGGGGCAGCAUGAACUUAGCUUGCUAAGUUUGAUGGCGACCGGCGCACGGGUGAGUAACACGUAUCCAACCUGCCGAUGACUCGGGGAUAGCCUUUCGAAAGAAAGAUUAAUACCCGAUGGCAUAGUUCUUCCGCAUGGUAGAACUAUUAAAGAAUUUCGGUCAUCGAUGGGGAUGCGUUCCAUUAGCUUGUUGGCGGGGUAACGGCCCACCAAGGCAUCGAUGGAUAGGGGUUCUGAGAGGAAGGCCCCCCACACUGGAACUGAGACACGGUCCAG
This 314-nucleotide ribosomal RNA is filed under the name uncultured bacterium. RNAcentral describes it as "bacterial SSU rRNA". It matches the Rfam family "Bacterial small subunit ribosomal RNA", at positions 28 to 334 of the family's 1533-position model. The record is from RNAcentral.